AUGAGAGAUUUCCUGCAGUCUGACUUCAACAAUCAGUUUGAACAAAUGAAUUUGGAGACUCGUUUGAACCUUGCAAUUGCUUCUCAAAUUACAGCCCUGGACUAUAUUAAGGCAAAUCGGCAGCGGAGUCGAAGCAUGGCUUCCCUGAAAGAGAUAUUUUCAAAGGUGAAUUGUCUCCUUACACCAGGUACUGCAUGCUGUGCACCAGUAAUCCAUGAAUCAGACCUCCUUACUGGAUGUAGUGAUGUUCAGACAACUCUGCGGACCAUGAAAUACAUGCAGUUGGCCAACUUGACAGGCAUUCCAGCCCUAGUGGUACCAGUUGGAUAUACAAUUUCAGGGCUUCCCAUCAGUUUACAUAUGAUGACUAAGUGGUGGAAUGAAGCGUUGCUGUUCCAAAUAGGCCUGAAACUGGAGCAAUUUCAUGGUACACUAGCAAAACCAAUAAUUUACUAUGAUAUUCUGAGAUAAUAUGGCUAGCUUCAAAAUUCCAAUACAGUUGUUUGUUUAACGUAUAAAUGGCUUAAGGGAUGAGUUAGAAAGGUCUUCAGGACAGAUUCACAAGCUCCCAUUAAAAAAUGCAAACAAAAUUAAAUUGGAAUGAAACGAUUAACUUACUAAAGGAUAUACAGUGCUGUAGGUGUCUGCAGUGUUUAGAGUUUAUAUUGAUACGAAUUGUUUAUAAACAUCCCGAUAAUGCAGAUUUUACGAUUGAGCAGAUUCUAUUCAGAUACAAUUUGUUUGAAUGCGUUUUAAAUACUGUAUGUGACAUUUGCAUUCAGUAUGUAUAUAUGGUAUUCUUGAUGUUUCUUGCAUGGAAAAUUUCUUAGAAAGGUGAUGGGCAUUUACAGAUUUUUUUUAAACCUAACUCUGACAAAACUCUAACAAUAUAUACCCUCUAGUGAUAUUGCACAAUUGUAUUUCUUUAUAGUUCAGCAGAAUGUUAAUUUCUUGUGUCAAAAUGAAAGCAAAUCAUUUCACCAGUUCCUACAGGCUUGAGCAUCCAUGUUCCUUUUCAAAGUGACAGAAAGCAAUUGAUUCAGAAAAUAUGAUGGCAUUGGCAUCACCAUCAUUAAUACAAUAUUUCAUGCAAUGAAUUUGUUCACUUAUCCGAGUUUGUGAUAAAAUUAAUACAAUAUUCAGAAAACUCUGGAAUGUUGAUUGGUGUGGCAGUUUUCCAAAGAUUAAUAUUCGAAACUUGAAGUUUGGGCAUGCCUCAAAAUAGUAUUUAAGAAGCCAUGGAAAUAAUCAGAGAUGGUAUUCAGCAGGUUCUGACCAGUUCUGGAGAACUGGUAGCGGAAAUUUUGAGUAGUUCAGAGAACCGGCAAAUACCACCUUUGACUGGCCCCGCCCCCAUCUAUUCUCUGCCUCCCGAGUCCCAGCUGAUCAGUUGGGUUUUCUUUUGUUGCCCUGCACAGGAGAAUGGAGGUGGAAUGCAGGUUAGUGGGGUGGGGACGGAAUGGGAUUUUGCAGUAACCUUUCCCCAGGAGUGGGGAGGGAAUGGAGAUUUUACAGUAUCCUUCCCCUACCAUGCCCACCAAGCCACGCCCACAGAACAGGUAGUAAAAAAAAUUGAAUCCCACUACUGGAAAUAACAUACACAUUAUCAUUCUGAACCAAGCUAUCCUUAGGACAAACAAUACUGAAGACAUGAGAAAUUUUCCAGAAAUAAUCUUAGGACAGUUGCAAACACUGUCAUAAUAAUCACCAGAUUAGACUGACUUGAAGUUAUCGGUGGAUAAAACCCUGGAUUUGGAUCUGGAACCACAUUCUCAGUAGAUAUUUCACUGAAUAAUAGAAAGUAGUGUUUUUUCAGCCUUACCUUACGCAACAGGCUGUAUUCAAUGAAUGGGAGGAGAGUACACAAAUUGUGCAGGUUUUCUUGAGUUUAGGAGUGGUGGUCUCAAGUUAAUGUUAAAUUGAACAAUAUGAGGGAAUAAGCCUCUGUAAGCAAGUAAUUAUUCUUUAUCCAUUCCUUUGUAAAUGUUUACAAAAUUUGUGACUAUGAGAUUGAAAGUUACAAUUCUGUCCUCCUUGAUAAUGGUAUAUUGUUAAAAUGAUAAAGAGUAAGACUGGUUUCCUAGAAAAGCCUUUCUGUUCUUCAACCUAACUAAAAUAUUCUGGUAUAAGGUAAAUAUAAAGCCUUUAGUAUACAGGUAGUCCUUGACUCACAACAGUUCAUUUACUAACUGUUCAAAGUUACAACAGCACUGAGAAAAGUGACUUAUGAUUAUUUUUCACACUUAUGACCAUUGCAGUAUCCCCAUAAUCACAUGAUCAAAAUUCAGAAGCUUGGCAACUGAUUCAUAUUUGUGACGGUUGCAGUGUCUCGGAAUCAUGUGAUCACCUUUUGUGAUCCUACAAGCAAACCCAAUGGGGAAGUCAGAUUCACUUAAUAACCAUGUUACUAACUUAACAACUGCAGAUUCACUUAACAACUGUGGCAAGGAAAGUAGUAAAAUGAGGCAACAUUCACUUAACAAAUGUUUCACUUAGCAACAAAAAUUUUGGGCUCAGAUGUGGUCAUAAGUCGAGCACUACCUGUAUUAGAAAGCUUAAGAGUUUUUUUUAUUAUUGUCAAAUUUUGUAAAAGUACUGGGAGAAGGGCAUCCAAAAAGGAUUCUCAAUCUCUCACAUGGUUUUUCCUGUUCUUUUAUGUAUUUCUAGUGGCAUUUCUGUAGGUUUUUUGCUUCUGCAUAUGCCUAUUUUGUACUAAACGUUUUGCUACAAUGUAGUAUGAUCAAGAAACACAAGCAACAGAGCAUCUAUAAAUAGGAAGUAAAGGCAAUCAUGCGUGUGAUUAUUGUCACACUUGUCAUUCCAUUAAAGAAAAUAACAUUAAGAUUUUGUAUACAUAAACUACUACAGAGGACUUAAUCCUCAUUCCCAAUUUGCCUAUAUUCUAUCUUGGAAAAAAAUGAUAAGGUGCUGAACAUACUUCUGUUAGAAAACACUAGUUUAGUUCUCAUGUUGCUCUGCAAUUCUAUAGGGCUCAUAUGUGCUGUUGUGCACUGUCAUCUACCCAAAGUUUAAUCAUCUUGACCAGAGACAUGUAAAAAAAUUAAUUAAAGCAAGGGAGAGGCAGCUAUUAUGUGGCAGAAGGUUUAGCUGGCAUUCCAAGGCAAGUUACCUGAUCCAGGCUGUAAAACCCGAGAGGCCGAGGUAAGAGUGCUAUCCAAUUUUGUGUUGCCAUCUAGUAGCCAUCUACAUGUUUGCUGUUCACAUUUGGUAACUCUUAAUUCACAGAACUGAGUGUUUUCACAAAAUAGCUGUUAUGGUCAGUCACAAAACGUUCAGAUCACAGAACGAGUUCUUGCUUUUAUCCCUAUUUCUGGGCCUAUAGAUAUACCUUCAAAAAGAGGGACUAAGUUUUCUUUCCAAGAUGCCUUUUAAGAGCGCUGAACAUUCUUAUAAGUUACUCAAGGCUAGUAGUUUGCAGAGGCUAGGCUCAUUUACCAGUAAUUUUUUAAUUAAAAAUACUGCCAAAGAAGAUGGCCAUGGGCCCCACUUGGAUUACUCUGUUACAGAACAAAGUAUUAAAAACUUGUGUUUAUCUGUGAUUAUAAUAAAUAAAGGAAAAUACCAGUGUUUUAAAAUUCCAAUUCUAUAUAAAAUGCAAAAUGAAGGAUGCAGUACAACAUUGAAAUUGUGAGUACUCCAACAUUGGAGGAUUUAAGAGAUUAGACAACCAUUUAUCUCAAAUAGUAUAGGGUCUCCUGUUUGAACAGGGGGUUGGGCUAGAAGACCUCCAAGAUCCUUUCCAACUUUGUUAUUCUGUUAAAUACCAAUAUAAAAGGUGUGCUAAAUUCUUUUAUCUUCCUUGCUUGCCUACUAAGGAAUCCCAUGCAAAAUAGACAUAACAUGCAAUUUGAGAAUACAGGUAAUCCUCGAGUUAUGACAGUGACCAUUUGAAGUUACACCAUAACACCCCCACCCCCAUCCUGCUCUCUCAGACCUUCCAAAAAUCUGUCUCCCCUCUCUGCCAUGGUUUCUUUGCCUUUGAGAGGGAGAGAGAGAGAGAGUAGGACGAUUUUGUUCCCAGUGCCCGAUUGCCUUGCAAAUGCUUUUUGUGCUGAGUGGAAUGUUCUGGGGUCCAUGAUCUUGUGCAACUUCAGACACCCACCUGCUUUUGCAGAGAAUGGGUAUACCUGAAGUCAUGUGAGAUCACAGCCCCCAGAACAUUUCUCUCUCAGCGUGAAAAGCAUUUGGAAGGUGAUCGGACACUGGGAGAGAAAUUGCAUUGCUUCCAGCAUCUGGUAGGCUUGCAAAUGCUUUUCACGCUGGGAAUGAAAUGUUCUGGGGGAGUGUGAUCACAUGUGACAUCAGGCACCCAUCCGCUUUUGCAGAGAAUGGGUGCCCGAAGUUGCAUGUGAUCAACCCCCAAGAACAUUUCACUCUUGGCAAAAAGCAUUUGCAAGCCAACUGGACGCUCGGGUGGAAAUCAUCCUGCCCUCCUCUCCCUCAACGGCAAAGAAACUGCAGCAGAGGAGACAGAUCUUUGCAAGGUGUGCGAGUCCGGCAUGGCAAGAUGGGACAGGAGAAGCUCCCCCACAGCCUUCCUUACCCUGAGAUACCUCUUGCCAGUGACCACACAUUUGAUUAGUGAAUGUGUGGGUAAAAGCAGAGAACGAUCGCAUUCAAGUUACGUGAUUCACUUGUUGAAUUACAAAUGUAAUUGACAGGCUCCAUUACAUAACUCGAGCUUUACCUGUAUAACUCAAUGGGCAAAACAUGAUUUUGGCUAUUGCACCAGGUGAUGUUGAAUAAUAUUUUAUUUUAUUGCUCUAUGUGCUUGAAGGUGUUAUUAAAAUUAUUCUUUAAAUGUGAGGGGGCUGGAGUUUUCUGUCAAGUAAAGAAGUUUAAAACGAACUGAACGGCACCAUUACCAUUUCAGUGCUUUAAACGUAAAAAAAUUGGCAAGGUAUUUUUUUUAUAGCAUGAUCUUUUAAAAAGUCAGUGACCAUAAAAAGGGAUCCAGGAAGUUGCCCAUGUCUUGUCCACAACUGUAAGCAAUGGCCACCUUUGGCUAGAUGUAUAGCAAAUGGGCAAGCCCUAUACAUAAAGCCAACAGUGUUAUGGUGGCUAACCUGCUUGCACAAUAGAUAAAGGGACCACACAUACAAUGCUCUUGCUUCACAUAGAUAUAUGUUGAUAUACAGUAUAUACACAAUGAUGUCUUUAUAUAAAAUAACUUUGUUUAUAAAGUGACAUUUAACUGCCACUUGGCCCUUCCCUACCCCACAAAAAACAGUAGUAUACAAAAUAUAAAAUAUUUUUUUUAAAUAUUUAUAAACAGUUGCAAGGAAAAAAAAUAUAACUGUAUGAAAAUA
This is a long non-coding RNA of Naja naja (Indian cobra), 5330 nucleotides long. NCBI's taxonomy places the organism in Eukaryota, Metazoa, Chordata, Lepidosauria, Squamata, Elapidae. The record is from Ensembl.